Molecule: ribosomal RNA, 396 nt
Filed under: uncultured bacterium
Lineage: Bacteria
Description: partial 16S ribosomal RNA
Rfam family: Bacterial small subunit ribosomal RNA
Source: RNAcentral
AUACGUAGGGGGCGAGCGUUAUCCGGAUUUACUGGGCGUAAAGGGCGUGUAGGCGGUCUUGCAAGUCAGAAGUGAAAUUCCUGGGCUCAACUCGGGCGCUGCUUCUGAAACUGCAGGACUUGAGUGCUGGAGGGGAUAGCGGAAUUCCUAGUGGAGCGGUAAAAUGCGCAGAUAUUAGGAAGAACACCAGUGGCGAAGGCGGUCUACUGGACAGUAACUGACGCUGAGGCGCGAAAGCGUGGGGAGCAAACAGGAUUAGACACCCUGGUAGUCCACGCUGUAAACGAUGAAUACUAGGUGUGGGGGGACUGACCCCCUCCGUGCCGCAGUUAACACAAUAAGUAUUCCACCUGGGGAGUACGGCCGCAAGGUUGAAACUCAAAUGAAUUGACGGGG